ACAGCAGUAGCCACGGUAAUACAGAGGGUGCAAGCGUUAAUCGGAAUUACUGGGCGUAAAGCGCGCGUAGGUGGUUUGUUAAGUUGGAUGUGAAAGCCCCGGGCUCAACCUGGGAACUGCAUCCAAAACUGGCAAGCUAGAGUACGGUAGAGGGUGGUGGAAUUUCCUGUGUAGCGGUGAAAUGCGUAGAUAUAGGAAGGAACACCAGUGGCGAAGGCGACCACCUGGACUGAUACUGACACUGAGGUGCGAAAGCGUGGGGAGCAAACAGGAUUAGAUACCCCAGUAGUCCCUGUCUCUUAUAC
This 305-nucleotide ribosomal RNA is filed under the name uncultured bacterium. Its description in RNAcentral is "partial 16S ribosomal RNA". It matches the Rfam family "Bacterial small subunit ribosomal RNA", at positions 505 to 807 of the family's 1533-position model. The record is from RNAcentral.